RNA transcript from Zea mays, 2572 nucleotides. It is a transcript of the gene named pentatricopeptide (PPR) repeat-containing protein pseudogene, with no coding region annotated. The record is from RefSeq and is marked validated. Lineage: Eukaryota; Viridiplantae; Streptophyta; Magnoliopsida; Poales; Poaceae. The transcript is spliced from 5 exons.
CGCGUCCCGCUCCCCCGCAGCUCUGCCCCACCGCGCACCCGCCGCCGCAAUCCGCGCCCGCAUCCCAUGCACCAUCCCCGUGCGGCCCCUUCGCCGUGAUGCUCGCCCACGCAUGAUAGAAGGCACGCCGCAUCUCGAUUCUCACCAACCCCGCCCCGCCACCGCAAUCUUCGCCUCUCGCUGACUUCGAUGGAAGGCGUACCGCUCGCCCUCACCUGCCCGCGACGCUCACUCCUCCCCAUUGCUGGGGCCAGUGUAGGAGAAGAGGACGGAGGUUAGCAGAUCUCGUUGCGCUUCCAUCGAACGACGACAUUCACAGGAGGAGCGGUACCUGUUUGCCUAUGCGAACGACGACGUAGGGAUAGCUGGAUCAGAGGUCGCGGACGACGAGGUUCACCCCCCUCACCACGUGCAGCUUCAGCAGCCCAACGAGAUGGUCCAGCAUGGUGAUUUCCCUCUUCUUCACCACUGAGUUCUCUCUUCUCUGACUACUAUAUAUUCAUCCAAGCAGAUCUCGUCGCGCUGGUGGAGAUGGCCGAAGCCGCGGAGUGCGAGGAGGAGCAGGACCUGUUUGCCGAUGCGAAUGACGACGUAGGGAUCGCUGGAUCGGAGGUCGCGGACGGCGAGGUUCACCCCCCUCACCACGCGCAGCUUCAGCAGCCCGACGAGAUGGUCCAGCAUGGAAAUGAACUUCCAUCAGACUUGAUAGACACACUACUAAAGUGGAUCCCAAGCAAUGAUGAGGAGCUUAGGCUUCGACUGUCCUCCCGUAGCACCGCCACACCGCACGCGUCCGUGGCGGCGUCCGCCUCGGCGCCGGUCUCGCACACCGCUCCCUGGCUGGGGAAGUUCAUCGCCUCCGAGCCCUUCAACGUGGGGGGAUUCGACUGGGCGAUCUACUUCUACCCCGAUGGGAAGAGCGGCGAGGAUGGUAUGUUGAAGUGACAUGCUCUGAACUGCUCUUGGCUUCAGGCAGUCAGGCGGGAUAACAAGCAGAGGUUUAGUCUGUUGGAGGAAGAUGGCGAGCUGUUGAUCCGGGCGAACCAGGGACACACAGUAAUACUAAAAAAUAUAGUCUGGAGGUGACCUCAAUCUUAUUGGACAGAAUACUCUCUUAUGAGACAAAGUUGCAUAAGCCCAUCAAAUUUUGCAGUAAUCAGUUCCUUGAGUUCAUGUGCAGGUUUGAAACUUUUAACUGCUGGUCAGCAAGUGCAUUGUGAUGCUGUUAAGUGGGGUCUAGAUUUAGAUACUUCUGUUUCAAAUGUACUGGUUAAAAUGUAUGGGGAAUGUGGAGCUAUGUCAGAUUACUGGAAGGUUUUCAACUCAAUGGCUGAACACGAUGAAGUUUCUUGGAACACUAUGAUGGGUGUCAUGGCCAGUUCACAAACACCUAUUUCUGAAAUUGUCAAAGUUUUCAACAAUAUGAUGAGGGGUGGUUUGAUACCAAAUAAAGUAACAUUUAUAAACUUACUUGCUGCUUUGUCUCCACUGUCCGUUCUUGAAGACAAUGUGGUAGAUAAUGCACUCAUAUCAUGCUAUGCAAAAUCAGGAGAUAUGGAUUCCUGUGAGCAUCUGUUUACUAACAUGUCUGACAGAAGGGAUGCCAUCUCGUGGAAUUCUAUGAUUUCAGGUUACAUCUACAAUGGCAAUCUACAGGAGGCUAUGGAUUGUGUAUGGCUUAUGAUACACAGUGGCCAAAUCAUGGAUUGUUGCACUUUCUCCAUUAUACUCAAUGCAUGUGCUUCUGUGGCAGCAUUGGAGCGUGGAAUGGAGUUGCACGCUUUUGGUAUUAGGUCACACUUGGAAUCAGAUGUCGUGGUUGAGAGUGCUCUUGUUGAUAUGUACUCCAAGUGUGGUAGGGUGGAUUAUGCCUCUAAGCUUUUCAAUUCUAUGACUCAGAGAAAUGAAUUUUCAUGGAAUUCUAUGAUUUAUGGUUAUGCAAGACAUGGUCUUGGAAGGAAAGCCAUUGAGAUAUUUGAGGAAAUGCUGCGCAGCAGAGAGAGUCCAGACCAUGUCACUUUUGUCAUUGUCCUAUCUGCCUGCAUUCAUGCUGGAUUGGUGGAAAGAGGUUUAGAAUACUUCGAAAUGAUGCCGGAUCAUGGUAUACUACCACAGAUUGAACAUUAUUCUUGUGUCAUAGACCUUCUCGGUCGAGCUUGUAAGAUUGACAAGAUAAAGGAGUACAUUCAAAGAAUGCCAAUUGAACCUAACGCUCUCAUAUGGAGGACUUGUCAUCUUUCCACUUUCGUCCAAUUAUUUUGAGACAAAUAUGUUAACUUGAUGCUCAUGCCUAUAGACAUUGUUCAAGCCGGUACAUUUACAUGAUUGGGGCUUCAGAUGUUAAACUCGACAAAAAGUUGGUUACAAAAUAUAUUGGAUAUAAAUUAUUUUGGCAUAAUGUUUUGAUGUCCAGGUUGCUUUUCUUCACUACUAUAAUAGUAGGGGUCACGGGUAGCUGCAUAUAAUUUUUAGUUCACACUUAGGAAAUAUAUGUAUAUUUAGAAAUUUUCAAACAUUAAAUGUCACAACAUUCUUAAUGUUUUAAGUAUUAGUUAAUAGUUAUCAUUUUUCU